UCUGCCCAGUGCAACUAAAUUAACGUUUGUUGUAAAUGGCGGCGUUAACGUGAGCGUCCUAAGGUAGCGCGAUAAUUUGCUUUUUAAUUAAAGGAUGGUAUGAAAGGGUUAACGAAGAAGAUGCUGUGUCUAAGAAUUUAAUUUAAACUAACUUUAAGGUGAAGAGGCCUUUAUGAAAAAGAAGGACGACAAGACCCUAUGAAGCUUUACCUUAAUUGAAGCUUUCAAGCUUUUAUACGGUUUUGAUGGGAGAUCAGUAAAAAUAGAUCCUUUGCUAUAGAGUUUAUCCUACCAGAAUUUCCUAAUUUUAUAUGUGUGAUUAGCUACUCUAGGGAUAACAGCGCAAUUUCUCCCGAAAGAUGGUAUUGGAGGGGAAGAUUGUGACCUCGAUGUUGGCUUUAGGUGUCCUAGAGGUGUAGAAGCA
Molecule: ribosomal RNA, 424 nt
Filed under: Mytilus trossulus (common blue mussel)
Lineage: Eukaryota; Metazoa; Mollusca; Bivalvia; Mytilida; Mytilidae
Description: partial 16S ribosomal RNA
Rfam family: Bacterial large subunit ribosomal RNA
Source: RNAcentral